GGCUCGGUGGCAGAGUGGUAAUGUGUCCGCUUCUUAUUUCACUAAAACAUAGUGUUUUGCAGAAGUCGCCUGUUCGAACCAGGCCCGAGCCA
This is a non-coding RNA of Mycena leptocephala, 92 nucleotides long. NCBI's taxonomy places the organism in Eukaryota, Fungi, Basidiomycota, Agaricomycetes, Agaricales, Mycenaceae. The record is from the annotation of a GenBank genome assembly.